This 441-nucleotide ribosomal RNA is filed under the name Konosirus punctatus (Konoshiro gizzard shad). Its description in RNAcentral is "partial 16S ribosomal RNA". It matches the Rfam family "Bacterial large subunit ribosomal RNA", at positions 2001 to 2593 of the family's 2925-position model. The record is from RNAcentral. Lineage: Eukaryota; Metazoa; Chordata; Actinopteri; Clupeiformes; Clupeidae.
AUAACGAGGGUUUAACUGUCUCUUUUUUUCGGUCAAUGAAACUGAUCUGCCCGUGCAGAAGCGGGCAUACCCACACAAGACGAGAAGACCCUAUGGAGCUUUAGACGCUCACCAACCACUAAAAGAGACCCGAUCUAACGGGCUUUCAAACAAUGUGGCCCUGGNAUAAACGUCUUCGGUUGGGGCGACCGCGGAGGAGAGAAAAGCCUCCGAGAGGAUUGGGGGAAACCCUAAAACCAAGAGCCACAGCUCUAAGUCACAAAAUAUUUGACCGACAACGAUCCGGCUUCUUGCCGAUCAACGGACCAAGUUACCCUAGGGAUAACAGCGCAAUCCCCUCCCAGAGUCCAUAUCGACGAGGGGGUUUACGACCUCGAUGUUGGAUCAGGACAUCCUAAUGGUGCAGCCGCUAUUAAGGGUUCGUUUGUUCAACGAUUAAAG